This is a long non-coding RNA of Bos taurus (domestic cattle), 567 nucleotides long. Lineage: Eukaryota; Metazoa; Chordata; Mammalia; Artiodactyla; Bovidae. The record is from Ensembl.
AACUGAUGGACACCAAGGACUUCCACUCAUUUCAGGAGCAACAUCAAGCCCCUGCCAAGAGGGAGUUACUUUAUGGGGUGAUCACCACAGGAAACAAAGGAAGCAGUCAUUAAAGGUCACCUCCUGCAGAGGCCUCACAUUCCCAGCCACUUAGACCAGCUUCCUGGGAAGAAAUGGCUGCGCUGACACCUCAGCUCCGAGGGCCAUGUGGAAAGAUGCUGCUUAGGGUGCUGUAAUUGAAGAUGGCGGCCAGGGGGCCGUGUACAGAAAUGAUGCACCUGGCCCUGUGAUCUGGGCGCACAGCUACACAGCUGAGCCCACCCAGCGAGAACCGCAACCCUCUCCGCUCACAUGAGCCACAAGCAGCAGCCCCGUGGAGGGCUUUUAGGGGAGAGCAUGUGCUCCAGAGCAAGUUCUAUUGGAACAAGCCAAACCUGGCAAAGGACACUUCUUGGGGUCUGACGUGGGAGGGUGGGUAACAGACUAGGAAGAAAUCCAACCCUCUUCUGCCCAAUAACAGAAUGUGAUUCUCCAAGAAACCUAGAUAAGGGAGAAGCAGCAGACUAG